CCGACCUUAGCUCAGUUGGUAGAGCGGAGGACUGUAGUUUGAAAGCUGAAAUCCUUAGGUCGCUGGUUCGAAUCCGGCAGGUCGGA
This 86-nucleotide transfer RNA is filed under the name Ipomoea nil (Japanese morning glory). It matches the Rfam family "tRNA". Rfam says of the family: Transfer RNA (tRNA) molecules are approximately 80 nucleotides in length. Their secondary structure includes four short double-helical elements and three loops (D, anti-codon, and T loops). Further hydrogen bonds mediate the characteristic L-shaped molecular structure. tRNAs have two regions of fundamental functional importance: the anti-codon, which is responsible for specific mRNA codon recognition, and the 3' end, to which the tRNAs corresponding amino acid is attached (by aminoacyl-tRNA synthetases). tRNAs cope with the degeneracy of the genetic code in two manners: having more than one tRNA (with a specific anti-codon) for a particular amino acid; and 'wobble' base-pairing, i.e. permitting non-standard base-pairing at the 3rd anti-codon position. The record is from Rfam by way of RNAcentral. Lineage: Eukaryota; Viridiplantae; Streptophyta; Magnoliopsida; Solanales; Convolvulaceae.